ACCCCCAGACCAAAAGUAGGCUGGGGCCUUAUUGCAGUGCCCCUGACGGACACCGACAUCCUCUUUAUGACUCACAGCAAGCCAGGUGUCUGACUUUGCUCAGGGCAGUGGUCACCGGAGCCUCCAUUUUCACUAACGCCUGGGUCACUGCACGUGUUAGAGUUCAGUUUGGAAAUGCUCCAUGUGUGCCUCCAUUUCUUAAUUCAGGAAAAUGAACGUCCAUCUCUGUUUCUGGCCUGAUCACAUAAAGACAAAAUGGUGGAGCCCGCAUAGGCCAAACUUUGGAUACCACGGUGGCUUCCAGGUGAGCACAGAGGUGAAGGUGUUAGGCCCCAGGGUGUGCCAUCCCUCAGGGCCUUUCUACUGAACCCCGACCACACGCACUCACGUCAUUUGAUCAAGGGCAUCUCAUGUUUUCCAGUGACCCGGGGUGUUGAUGGGGAUUAGCAUAGCUAUAGAAAGCCCACGCCAAAAUACACGGAAGUAUCUGUGACCUCAUUUAUACGAACUCAAACUGCUUACCAUCUGUGUUGGGAAACAGAGGAUGCUUGUGCAUGUGUGUGUAUGUGUGUGCAUGUUUCCUAAGAGAGCACAACUAUAAUAUUUGGUUGAAGAGUGGAGAACUAAAGGAAACAAUUGGGGAAGACCAUCGAUUGAUCAGCAGCCAUGCUGUAUUUGGUGUGGCCUUGAAAGGAAUCAUUCAUCAUAAGCAAUCAAAAAGAGAACGGAGGAGAGAGCAAACACUUCCCGCCCUUAAAUCUCUCACUGUUGCCUUUCACGGGAACAGUUUCUCACACAGAAAAAUCUGUUUUCAGUUGGACUGAAAAACUGCCCCAUGAGUCAUAAACGUCUCUAUAUUUGUAAGGCUCUUCACAGUUGACAAAGCAUUUUUGCAAAGUUUUUUUCAUUUGAUCCUACCCACGGGGUGGAAUGACUAAUCCAAGACCGCACAGACAGAGAAAAUGGCACGGUGGAGCCGGAUUCCGACCCCAGUGAGGCCUUGGUCUGUGUUCUGUUUGAAAUGGAGAAAUCUAGGAAGCACUUCUUGGGAGGAGACGCCUGCAAGUGUUCUUACUCCUAUCGGGUUCCAUCAGUUAUUGAACGUCCACAGUGUGCAUUGCCAGGGAGAAGAGGAAGGACGACAGACACAUUGCCUGCUGCUGGGAAUCCAUGCGGGACUGGUUGACAGCUCAGGACCCAGUCAGAGUCACUUCUGUGGCUCACCCCAGGCUUGAUGGAGGCUGGCUAAUUACAGGGGACUCUGGUAAAUGAGUUGGUGGCCCUCUGGCCAGACCCCUCACCCUAUGGCGUGGUGGCCGCUACCAGUGGUGGCCCUUCUCUGACUUUGUGUUUCACAGAGAUUCGUCGCCUCUAAGGACAGGGUAGACAUGGGGUGAGCAGGUCCGAGAAUUCUGAAUUCUGCCUCUCGGUUCAGUCAAGGAGUUAGACACAUUCCCAACGUACCGCACAGAUCCUGGUGCAGAAAGCUAUUUUUCAGUUUCACCGGAACCAAUUUGAUAACUCACACCAGAAGGAAACCUGUGUAAAAACCAAUCUCAGAUGUGGAGCAAAUGCUGGUGAGGGUGUGAACUGGUAGAAUCACCCUGGAAAACUAGUGGGUUUCCAUAACCAAAGCUGCACUUGGGAGCAGAUAGCUCCAUUCCCAGUUAUGAUUGCAACAAUGUUGGUGGUAGGCAGACACUAAGAUGUGACCUUCUCCUAACCAGCAAAAUACAACAAUUAUGAUGGGAUAUGACUUCUCUGAUUACGUUUCCUAAAACUGUAACUUCUAUCUUGCUAGCAUGUUCUCUCUAUUGCCUUCUUGGCUUCCACGCUUUGAUGUUGGAGAGAGCCUUAUGUGGCACGGAACUAAAUGUGACCUUUGGCCAAUAGCCAGCUAGGCACUGAGGCCUUCAGUCCAAUAGUCUUCCAGAAAUUGAGUUAUGCCAACCGCAGUGGGAGCUUGGAAGUAAAUCCUUCCCCAGUUUGGACUUCAGAUGAGAUCCCAGCCCUUGCUGACACCUUGAUUCUGCUUUGUGAGGGACCCUGAAGCAGACGGUCUAGCUAAGCUGUGUUCAGACUCUUGAUUCACAGAAACUGAGAUAAUGUGUGCGGUUUGAAUUGUGUGGUAAUUGGUUCCACAGCAAUAGGUAACAAAUUCAGAGAUGCUUACAAAUGUGCACCCAGGGACACGUAUAAGAAUUUUCAUAGCAGCAUUCUUCGUGAUAUCCAAAUCAGAAAGAACUCAAAAGUUCAUGGACGAUAAAGUGGAUAAAUACAUUGCAGUAUAUUCAUAGAGUGGACCACUGGAAGCGCUGUGAGAGUAACUAACCCUAGCUACCUGCAAUGAUAUGGGUGAGUCUCACAAGUAAUUGGGUGGGAAAAACCAGACACAAGAGAGUACACACUGUAUGGUCCAAUUUACAUACAGUUCUACAAUAGGCAAAACUAAUCUGUCAUCCUAUUUGAAACUCAGGAUGGUGACGCCUUUGGGGGUUAGGUAGCUACAGGGAAGGUACAUAGGGAAGCUUUUGAGAUGCUGAAAAUGUCCUGUUUCUUCAAUCUGGGGGCUGGUUACAGGACUGGUUUACACACGUUUAUGUAUGUAUUUGGUUAUAAAUUAAAAAGUUUUUACAACACUGCCUUUUUUUUUUUCUAGCAGGUGAUCUUUUCAGCACGGGAUAUUCAUAGAUGUGUGCUCAGAGGGGUGCAUUAUCUUUGCAGGCACAGUGUCAGUCAUACAUCAGGAAAGGAGAGCAUUGAUUUCAAAUGCCUCAUUUAACAGAAGAGGUAAAGUGAGUUGCAGAAGUCAAGCUUCCAAUCAUUUGUCAGAGCUGCAACUGCAAAGCAGGUCUCUUGUAUAUUCUGGUUCGAUGUGAGUGCAGUCUGGCUGUGGAGCAUCUUUCAUGGUUCUCCACGCUUGAGUCCCUUUCUUCACCACCCUGUGAGAUUGCCUGUUGAUGUUGCAAGCUGAGUUAAAGAUUGCUUUCCCAGACUGACCGGUGUCUGGCUUGGGCUUGGGCUUUAAACUGAGCAGUAUCCAAUAAGAAGGAGCUUCUUGGUAUCCUGUUUUCAUGUUUCUACCUUGUUCUGUUGCACUGGAACCCUCCUUGCCAUUUGUUUCCAGGCCUGUUUCUUGCACCAUGGCUAGUCAUCUUUACCUGACCCUCUAUCCACAGUCUGGUUCUCACCCAGCACAACUGAAACUCAAUACCUUUCCUGGUGCUGAACUUGGCGAACUUUCUUGGCUUUGAUUAGGACUCAUCUUUCAGUGUGUAUUUGCUGCUAGCAGCUCUGGGUUAUGACCUUGACUGGGAAGCCUGCAAUCAUCUUACUGAGUCUGCCUCAGUCUCUGCAAAAGAGGAGAGAAGUAUUUUUUUUUUCCAUCAAAGAUCUACAAAUAUCCAAUAUCUCCAUGUUCCAAAUAAGUUCUUACAUUCCAUUUUAGGAAAAUAUCUGCUGGUGUAGGCAGGGAGGAGCAUGAACUACCUGCCUUUUCCCCCUUUUCUCUUUUCUGAGAUCUGAGACCUAUGUUAUAAAAUCAACACAAUGAAUGAGAUCAGACGUAUACAAAUACACCUUAGAGACAAAGAGUCAGCCAUGUCAUAAGAAGGCAAAGGAUGGAUGUGACAAUAACCCCAUUGAUGGUCUGGAUGUGUCUAAAGAGAGAAUAUGUCAAUCAGAAAGAAUAUGUCAAUCAGAAAGCUGGCAGGCACAGAACUUGGAGGACAAGCCAGAGGGAACCCUGAAAACCUGGUAUGAAUGUUCCAGGGGUAAUGGCUUCAUCAGGUCCCAGCCAUGUGAUGCCGUUAAGCUUUCAAGUCAUCUAACUAAACUGUCCUUGCUCUGAUUCCAGACUCACUAAGGAGAUUUCCAAUUAUAAUCAACUUCCUGUGUAGAUUUUCUGUAGGGAAAAAAGGUGCUGGGGAGAAGAGUGUGAGUAUUUGAUCUUUCUGACAACUGCACAUCCCCUUGUUGAUAGAGGUAUUGACAUUUUGGUGAGAAGUUUUGGUGCUUUCUGAAUUUAGUUCACAGAAGUCAGCUCUCCCAAGGCAGGCAGAUCCUGGAACACUAACAAGAUUGAAUUUUUGGACUUGCACAUCUUCUGGCCAGACCUCGGACUGUGAAAAAUUCAUUAAGAUAAUGCCACUUUGGAAGGCCUCUUGGUAGACAGCCAGCCAGCCAUUUCCUGGUAAUAUUCAACAUGGCUUUGGGCCCAUUUUCAAAAUCAUGAUGGUACCUAACUGGAUUGAGAGGAUGAGAAAGGGAACAGAGAGAAGAGGAGAUAAAUUGGGUAGUCCAUUCAAAUUGGUUUCCAUCGAGGCUACAGAUGGAAAUGGAAUCUUAUUGAAAAUGGACUACUUAUGUGUUUCUUAAAUGGGGAUAGAUACCCUUCUGGGAAUAUGUGGUAAUUUUCUUGGGAUGAGUAAAGAUAGGGGAUAAAACUCAGCACAACUUUCUGGAAGAUUAACUUUUCUCCCUGGUUUGGGGAGAUGGAGAAGUUAAGACAUUAACUAAAGAGGUAAACUUACCCAGAGUUUGUUGCUGGGUAAUCAGGGAUUAUAUUUACCAGCUUCUCUUGCAUUUAAUUGGGGCCAUGUGAUGACAUUUUGCUCAAGGGAUGUGGGGAGGAUGGCUGUUAAUUUUGGGCUGAAGCAAUUAAGAAGCACUUCUCUCCCCAUCUCACAGUUGAAUGGAGAGGUUGCAGAGGCUCUGAAGGAGGGUAGAGUCACAAGGCCACAGGGCAGGUUGUCCACCCACCAGCCACACCCACACAGACUUUAGACCUCGAUCAUCUUGAAAUUCAUUCAGAUAACAUGCCCUGCCCAAGUGGAGAUAUUUGCCUUUGCAAUUAGAUGUGCCCAGGGAACUAUGUCUAAAUCAACAGGAGACCAAGAGUUGGAGAAGCUGAAGGAAAAGACCUAGCAGUUGCUGAGGAGGUAUGGCUUCAACUGAUGCCCCAGGAGCUGCACUUGCUGGGCCAGGAUUCACAGAAGGUCGAGGAGAAAAUGGAGUUGCUGUGGACUCACCUGCUGCCCCAUGUCAACAUGAUGAGCCAGCAGGUCUGUGGCAAUGUGUGUGGGUUGCAACGGUGCCUGGUACCUUGCAUCAGCCUUCUGAACAUAAGGAAGGCCCACCUUCUAAAUAUUGUUCAAAAUAUCUUCUGAGGGCCUUCCCAACCCAGAACUAUGCAGGAAAGGGAAUUCUGGGAAAUGUAGUUCUAGCUUGUAGUUAAGUUGACAUAGCAUAAAUUGAUCCACAUGUACAAAGGAAACUUUUUAAAAAGUUGCUUUUAAUUUGAUAAAAAGCAUAUUAUGCCGCAUAUAUCCAUUUAGGACUUGCUCUUUAACAACUCAACAUUAUGUUUUUAGGAUUUAUAAAUCCUAAAACUGUGUAAAGCUUUAGCUUAAUCUUGUUGACCUGUUGUAUACUAUUGCGUGAAUACAUCAUAGUUACUUCAUCUACUCUCUUGUUGAUGGGUAUUUGGAUUAUUUCCAGGUGUUUAAGUUAGCUUGGGCUGCUAUAACAAAGUAUCAGGGU
Long non-coding RNA from Neofelis nebulosa (Clouded leopard), 5541 nucleotides. RefSeq lists it as uncharacterized. The transcript is spliced from 4 exons. The record is from RefSeq and is a predicted model, not a curated record. NCBI's taxonomy places the organism in Eukaryota, Metazoa, Chordata, Mammalia, Carnivora, Felidae.